AUUGAACGCUGGCGGCAUGCCUUACACAUGCAAGUCGAACGGCAGCACGGGAGCAAUCCUGGUGGCGAGUGGCGAACGGGUGAGUAAAGUAUCGGAACGUGCCCAGUCGUGGGGGAUAACGUAGCGAAAGUUACGCUAAUACCGCAUACGAUCUAUGGAUGAAAGCGGGGGAUCGCAAGACCUCGCGCGAUUGGAGCGGCCGAUAUCAGACUAGGUAGUUGGUGGGGUAAAGGCUCACCAAGCCGACGAUCUGUAGCUGGUCUGAGAGGACGAGCAGCCACACUGGGACUGAGACACGGACCAGACUCCUACGGGAGGCAGCAGUGGGGAAUUUUGGACAAUGGGCGAAAGCCUGAUCCAGCCAUGCCGCGUGCAGGAUGAAGGCCUUCGGGUUGUAAACUGCUUUUGUACGGAACGAAAAGGUUUGGCCUAAUAAGCUGAGCUCAUGACGGUACCGUAAGAAUAAGCACCGGCUAACUACGUGCCAGCCGCCGCCGUAA
RNAcentral lists this ribosomal RNA (500 nucleotides) under uncultured bacterium. RNAcentral's name for it is "partial 16S ribosomal RNA". It matches the Rfam family "Bacterial small subunit ribosomal RNA", at positions 30 to 523 of the family's 1533-position model. The record is from RNAcentral.